CCUACGGGAGGCUGCAGUGAGGAAUAUUGGUCAAUGGGCGCGAGCCUGAACCAGCCAAGUAGCGUGAAGGAUGACUGCCCUACGGGUUGUAAACUUCUUUUAUAAAGGAAUAAAGUGAGGCACGUGUGCCUUUUGUAUGUACUUUAUGAAUAAGGAUCGGCUAACUCCGUGCCAGCAGCCGCGGUAAUACGGAGGAUCCGAGCGUUAUCCGGAUUUAUUGGGUUUAAAGGGAGCGUAGAUGGGUUGUUAAGUCAGUUGUGAAAGUUUGCGGCUCAAACGUCAAAUUGCAAUUGAUACUGGCAGUCUUGAGUACAGUUGAGGUAGGCGGAAUUCGUGGUGUAGCGGUGAAAUGCUUAGAGAUCACGAAGAACUCCGAUUGCGAAGGCAGCUUACUAAGCUGCCACUGACAUUGAUGCACGAAAGUGUGGGUAGCAAACAGGAUUAGAUACCCUUGUAGUC
This 459-nucleotide ribosomal RNA is filed under the name uncultured bacterium. Its description in RNAcentral is "partial 16S ribosomal RNA". It matches the Rfam family "Bacterial small subunit ribosomal RNA", at positions 338 to 795 of the family's 1533-position model. The record is from RNAcentral.